This 468-nucleotide ribosomal RNA is filed under the name uncultured bacterium. RNAcentral's name for it is "partial 16S ribosomal RNA". It matches the Rfam family "Bacterial small subunit ribosomal RNA", at positions 28 to 507 of the family's 1533-position model. The record is from RNAcentral.
GACGAACGCUGGCGGCGUGCUUAACACAUGCAAGUCGAACGGAAAGGCCCUGCUUUUGUGGGGUGCUCGAGUGGCGAACGGGUGAGUAACACGUGAGUAACCUGCCCUUGACUUUGGGAUAACUUCAGGAAACCGGGGCUAAUACCGGAUAGGAGCUCCUGCUGCAUGGUGGGGGUUGGAAAGUUUCGGCGGUUGGGGAUGGACUCGCGGCUUAUCAGCUUGUUGGUGGGGUAGUGGCUUACCAAGGCUUUGACGGGUAGCCGGCCUGAGAGGGUGACCGGCCACAUUGGGACUGAGAUACGGCCCAGACGCCUACGGGAGGCAGCAGGGGGGAAUAUUGCACAAUGGGCGGAAGCCUGAUGCAGCAACGCCGCGUGCGGGAUGACGGCCUUCGGGUUGUAAACCGCUUUCGCCUGUGACGAAGCGUGAGUGACGGUAAUGGGUAAAGAAGCACCGGCUAACUACGUG